This 492-nucleotide ribosomal RNA is filed under the name uncultured bacterium. RNAcentral describes it as "partial 16S ribosomal RNA". It matches the Rfam family "Bacterial small subunit ribosomal RNA", at positions 29 to 507 of the family's 1533-position model. The record is from RNAcentral.
AGUGAACGCUGGCGGUAGGCCUAACACAUGCAAGUCGAACGGCAGCACAGUAAGAGCUUGCUCUUACGGGUGGCGAGUGGCGGACGGGUGAGGAAUACAUCGGAAUCUACUUUUUCGUGGGGGAUAACGUAGGGAAACUUACGCUAAUGCCGCAUACGACCUACGGGUGAAAGCAGGGGAUCUUCGGACCUUGCGCGAUUGAAUGAGCCGAUGUCGGAUUAGCUAGUUGGCGGGGUAAAGGCCCACCAAGGCGACGAUCCGUAGCUGGUCUGAGAGGAUGAUCAGCCACACUGGAACUGAGACACGGUCCAGACUCCUACGGGAGGCAGCAGUGGGGAAUAUUGGACAAUGGGCGCAAGCCUGAUCUAGCCAUACCGCGUGGGUGAAGAAGGCCUUCGGGUUGUAAAGCCCUUUUGUUGGGAAAGAAAAGCAGCAGGUUAAUACCCCGCUGUUCUGACGGUACCCAAAGAAUAAGCACCGGCUAACUUCGUG